AGUGAACGCUGGCGGUAGGCCUAACACAUGCAAGUCGAACGGCAGCACAGUAAGAGCUUGCUCUUACGGGUGGCGAGUGGCGGACGGGUGAGGAAUACAUCGGAAUCUACUUUUUCGUGGGGGAUAACGUAGGGAAACUUACGCUAAUACCGCAUACGACCUACGGGUGAAAGCAGGGGAUCUUCGGACCUUGCGCGAUUGAAUGAGCCGAUGUCGGAUUAGCUAGUUGGCGGGGUAAAGGACCACCAAGGCGACGAUCCGUAGCUGGUCUGAGAGGAUGAUCAGCCACACUGGAACUGAGACACGGUCCAGACUCCUACGGGAGGCAGCAGUGGGGAAUAUUGGGCAAUGGGCGCAAGCCUGAUCCAGCCAUACCGCGUGGGUGAAGAAGGCCUUCGGGUUGUAAAGCCCUUUUGUUGGGAAAGAAAAGCAGCAGAUUAAUACCCCGCUGUUCUGACGGUACCCAAAGAAUAAGCACCGGCUAACUUCGUG
This 492-nucleotide ribosomal RNA is filed under the name uncultured bacterium. Its description in RNAcentral is "partial 16S ribosomal RNA". It matches the Rfam family "Bacterial small subunit ribosomal RNA", at positions 29 to 507 of the family's 1533-position model. The record is from RNAcentral.